This 539-nucleotide ribosomal RNA is filed under the name uncultured bacterium. Its description in RNAcentral is "partial 16S ribosomal RNA". It matches the Rfam family "Bacterial small subunit ribosomal RNA", at positions 355 to 885 of the family's 1533-position model. The record is from RNAcentral.
UAGGGAAUCUUCCACAAUGGACGCAAGUCUGAUGGAGCAACGCCGCGUGAGUGAAGAAGGUUUUCGGACCGUAAAGCUCUGUUGUUGGUGAAGAAGGAUAGAGGUAGUAACUGGCCUUUAUUUGACGGUAAUCAACCAGAAAGUCACGGCUAACUACGUGCCAGCAGCCGCGGUAAAUCGUAGGUGGCAAGCGUUGUCCGGAUUUAUUGGGCGUAAAGCGAGCGCAGGCGGAAGAAUAAGUCUGAUGUGAAAGCCCUCGGCUUAACCGAGGAAUUGCAUCGGAAACUGUUUUCUUGAGUGCAGAAGAGGAGAGUAGAACUCCAUGUGUAGCGGUGGAAUGCGUAGAUAUAUGGAAGAAUACCAGUGGCGAAGGCGGCUCUCUGGUCUGCAACUGACGCUGAGGCUCGAAAGCAUGGGUAGCGAACAGGAUUAGAUACCCUGGUAGUCCAUGCCGUAAACGAUGAGUGCUAAGUGUUGGGAGGCUUCCGCCUCUCAGUGCUGCAGCUAACGCAUUAAGCACUCCGCCUGGGGGAGUACGA